GGGGGAGUAGCUCAGCGGGAGAGCGCGUGCUUCGCAUGCACGAGGCCCCGGGUUCGAGCCCCGGCUCCUCCA
Molecule: transfer RNA, 72 nt
Filed under: Cavia porcellus (domestic guinea pig)
Lineage: Eukaryota; Metazoa; Chordata; Mammalia; Rodentia; Caviidae
Description: tRNA-Ala (CGC) (tRNA-Ala-CGC-5-1)
Rfam family: tRNA
About the family: Transfer RNA (tRNA) molecules are approximately 80 nucleotides in length.
Source: Rfam by way of RNAcentral